Molecule: ribosomal RNA, 1757 nt
Filed under: Lepidotrigona ventralis hoosana
Lineage: Eukaryota; Metazoa; Arthropoda; Insecta; Hymenoptera; Apidae
Description: SSU rRNA
Rfam family: Eukaryotic small subunit ribosomal RNA
Source: RNAcentral
CCUGGUUGUACCCGCCUGUAGUCAUAUGCUUGUCUCAAAGAUUAAGCCAUGCAUUUCAGUAAAGUCUAAACUGAAGUGAAACCGCAAAUGGCUCAUUAAGUCAGUUAUGGUUUCUUAAUCCAUAACCAACUUACUUGGAUAACUGUAGUAAUUCUAGAGCUAAUACAUGCAAACGGAAUUCUUGUCAGACAUGCUAAAAAAUUUUAUUUUUAUUAGAUCAAAACCAAUCGGUGACGUAUGUCUCGCUGUUUAGGUGAUUCUGAAUAACUUCAUGCCGAUCGCUUGUUCCAUAGAUUGUUUAGGUGAUUCUGAAUAACUUCAUGCCGAUCGCAUGGCCAUCUAUCACCGGCGAAGUAUCUUUCAAAUAUCUGUCUUAUUAACUGUCGAUGGUAGAUUCUGCGCCUAUCAUCGUUAUAACGAGUAACGGGGAAUCAGAGUUCGAUUCGGAAGAGGGAGUCUCAGAAACAGCUACCACAUCUAAGGAAGACAGAGUGUGCACAAAUUACUCACUCCCGGCACGGGGAAGUAGUGACGAAAAAAAACGAUACGGGACUCAAGGCCCAGAAAUAGGAACGAGUACAGUCUAAACAAUUUAACGAGGACCAAGUGGAGGACAAGCCUGUUGCCAGGAGCAGCGGCAAUUCUAGCUCCAGUAUAUUGAAGCAGUUGAUGUUGACAAGCUCGUAGUUGAAACUUAGUGUCAAUAUGUAAUGUCUCGCGGAGUUUAACUGGCAUUAUGUACUACGUCCUACCGUUGGGUUUAGCUCCUUGCUGGUGGUCCAGCUAAUCUCCCAUCGCGGUGCUUUUCACUGAGUGUCUAGUUGGGACGAUACGUUUACUUUGAACAGAUUAUAGUGCUUAAAGCAGGCUACCUUCGCUUGAAUACUUCGUGCAUGGAAUAACGGAAUCGGAUCUCGGUAAUUAUUUUGUCGGUUUUUGGAAAUCUGAGGUAAUUGGUACAAUUGGGGGAUUCACAUAUCGUCGUUAGAUGUGAAAUUCUUGGAUCUUCGCAAGAGAGAAGCGAAAGCAUUUGCCAAAAAUGUUUCACUAAACACGAACGAAAGUUUGAAUUGCGAAGUCGACCAGAUACCGCUCUAGUUCUAACCAUAAACGAUCAGCGAUCCGCCGAAAUUCUUCAAAUGACUCGGCGGGCAGUUUCUGGGGAGUCAAAGCUCUCGUGUCCGGGGAAGUAUGGUUGCAAAGCUGAUACUUAAAGGAUUUGACUUUUUUGAUUCGAUGUGUGGUGGUGCAUGGCCGUUCUUAGUUGGUGGAACGACUUGUCCGUUUAAUUCCGAUAAUAAACGAAAAUCCAGCAUCCUAAAUAGACAUAACUUAUGGCAUCUCGAAGGCCCCUGGCUUCAGUCCGUUGGAUUCUACUAUACCAACAUACAGAAAGAUGUUCUUAGGGGAACAGGGGAAUUGAGCGAUAACAGGACUGUGACAUAGAUGUUCUAGACCACACACGCGCUAACUUUGCCGAAAGGCCCUGGUAACACGAUGAACCUCCUUCGUGUUAGAGAUUCAGUCUUGCAAUUACUCCUCAUGACAAUUCCCAGUAAUCGCGAGUCGUAAGCUCGCGUUGGUUACGUCCUUUGUACACAACUUCCGUUGCUACUAGCGAUUGAAUGAUGCAGUGAGAUCUUCUGUUGCGCCGACAAUGGCUCGUCAUUGCCGAUGUUGCCAGGAAGAUGACCAAACUUCAUCAUUUAGAGGAAGUAAAAUUUGUAACAAUGUUUCUGCAGGCAAACCUUCGGAAG